Molecule: transfer RNA, 87 nt
Filed under: Acidobacteriota bacterium
Lineage: Bacteria; Pseudomonadati; Acidobacteriota
Description: tRNA-Leu
Rfam family: tRNA
About the family: Transfer RNA (tRNA) molecules are approximately 80 nucleotides in length.
Source: RNAcentral
GCGGAAGUGGCGGAACGGCAGACGCGCCAGCUUGAGGGGCUGGUGGGCCAAUGGCCCGUGGGGGUUCAAAUCCCCCCUUCCGCACCA